NCUGGCGGCCUUAGCGCGGUGGUCCCACCUGACCCCAUGCCGAACUCAGAAGUGAAACGCCGUAGCGCCGAUGGUAGUGUGGGGUCUCCCCAUGCGAGAGUAGGGAACUGCCAGGC
RNAcentral lists this ribosomal RNA (116 nucleotides) under Escherichia coli. Lineage: Bacteria; Pseudomonadati; Pseudomonadota; Gammaproteobacteria; Enterobacterales; Enterobacteriaceae. The record is from RNAcentral.